CUCUCUCUCUCUCUCUCUCUCUCUCUCUCUCAUAUGGCCUGGGCAGCUGGUCAUGUUUGUGUUUCAACUUGUGACCAAAGACCCAGAGGUAGAAGCUCGUUCCUCCACUGUGUUAUAAAUCCUUUUUUUUCUUUUUAUCGGCUGCUGUUUUUUCGUCCAUCCCUCUGCUCCCUCUCCUCUGAGAGCUGGCCGGUCCUGUGACCUCCUCCUCUCCCCCUCUCCUCUCCAUCCCCUCCUCCUGCUCCUCCUCUCCUCGUCACAUCUUUGAACUCUCCAUCGCUGCUCCGGUGGCCGGGACCAGAGACCCCCUGCCUGCAGCCCCACCAAUCUCCAUUCUGGAAUUCAGGCAGAGAUCUUUUGGACAACCUCUCCCUCUCACCGUUCCUUGCUUCCUAGUCCAACAUCCCAGCCAAAAAUGCUUUGCUAAAGCUGGUAAAAUGGAACCAAAUCAACUGUUAAAUGGAUUUGGUCCCCUUCAACCAGCUGUAGCUGUGCAUUGAUCACAGCCAAACUGACAUGAACAAGGAGUGACAGACACACAAAAAUACAACCAAAUAAGUAAAGAAGAGGGAUGAUGAUGGUGGAAAAACCCUGGGAAGUGAUGAUUAGACGAGGCUCAUAGUCCCGCUUGGCCUUCAGACAGCCACUUUAAAUCUGUCAAAUCCAGUGCUCGUACAGAGACAGUUGGACAGCCAUUGGAUCUAGGGGCGGCUAGCCAAGCAAGAAUCAAUGAUUGUGGGGAUUUAUCUAAUCAAACACAUUUCCUCAAAGCAUUUCCAAAUGUCCAGGUAAGUGACCAUGUACUGUAUACAUUUGUCCGUUGUUAUAGAUUAUAGGGAUAUCUAGAUUGUAUGUUCAGGUUUGUUGUGUGAAAGCAGGAGUGUCGUGUGAUUAAAAAGCUAACUUUGUGUGUGCGUGAUAUUACUCUUGCACAAAUGUCUGUGCACACAUACACACCUAUGUGAUACCUUAUGCUAAUGUCUGAUCAAUAAAGGCCCAUCCUUGAGUUACCUAAA
Gadus morhua (Atlantic cod) is the source of this 1016-nucleotide long non-coding RNA. RefSeq lists it as uncharacterized. NCBI's taxonomy places the organism in Eukaryota, Metazoa, Chordata, Actinopteri, Gadiformes, Gadidae. The transcript has 2 exons. The record is from RefSeq and is a predicted model, not a curated record.